GACGAACGCUGGCGGCGCGCUUAACACAUGCAAGUCGAGCGAGAACCGAGGCUUCGGCUUCGGGGACAGCGGCGAACGGGUGAGUAACACGUGGAUAACCUGCCCUCGGCACCGGGAUAGCCCGAGGAAACUCGGAUUAAUACCGGAUAGCCCUUUCGACUUUCGAGUCGGUCCGAAAAGGUAGCUUCGGCCUCUGGCCGAGGAUGGGUCCGCGGCGGAUUAGCUUGUUGGUGGGGAAUGGCCUACCAAGGCUACGAUCCGUAGCUGGUCU
This 271-nucleotide ribosomal RNA is filed under the name uncultured bacterium. RNAcentral's name for it is "partial 16S ribosomal RNA". It matches the Rfam family "Bacterial small subunit ribosomal RNA", at positions 28 to 293 of the family's 1533-position model. The record is from RNAcentral.